CCCAAAAGACUUGUAUAAAGGUCAAGAUAUGGUUGACAAGUUUCUACCCACUCUCCGUAAAUGAGUGGACUACAAGCAGAUUUUUUACU
This 89-nucleotide non-coding RNA is filed under the name Massilicoli timonensis. RNAcentral's name for it is "Purine riboswitch". It matches the Rfam family "Purine riboswitch aptamer", at positions 14 to 99 of the family's 102-position model. Rfam says of the family: Riboswitches are metabolite binding domains within certain messenger RNAs that serve as precision sensors for their corresponding targets. Allosteric rearrangement of mRNA structure is mediated by ligand binding, and this results in modulation of gene expression. A class of riboswitches that selectively recognises guanine and becomes saturated at concentrations as low as 5 nM. The record is from RNAcentral. Lineage: Bacteria; Bacillati; Bacillota; Erysipelotrichia; Erysipelotrichales; Erysipelotrichaceae.